Molecule: non-coding RNA, 569 nt
Organism: Elaeis guineensis (African oil palm)
Lineage: Eukaryota; Viridiplantae; Streptophyta; Magnoliopsida; Arecales; Arecaceae
Source: RefSeq, a predicted model, not a curated record
CCCGGGGCCUUUUAACAUGCAGGCGAUGGCGGGAAAACAAUCGAACAUCUGGUGGGCUUGCCGCAUCUCAUGCCGCCGGCGCUCCACCUCCGUCCUUGCCUCCAUCGCCUACAUGAAAGUCUCUUCCCCCAUCCCCUCGUCUUCUUCUCUUCCACAACGCACUUCUCGCAGGAGCGUCUUUUGAGAUAUGCGGUCCUCGGAGCUGGCUUCACUGGACUCUCUGAGUGGCUUGGCAUCUUCUAAAGCACGGUUCGAAGGAGUCUCGGAUAUGCAUAGAUAUUUAUGAUAAAGUUGGCAAAUGCGGUGGUGCAUCUGGUGUUUCUGGAGGACUCCAUCCUGACUCUCCUUGAGCUAAGCUUUUAUGGAGAGGCGUCGAAUGGUGGAAAGAUUGCCGGUAACUUUUAACCAUUGCAGAAAGAACAAUGGAAGCCGGAGCUUCAAAUAGGAUGAAUCAAGAUUUGUCAUGCAGAUUUGAUGAAACAAUAGUUUGGACAAGGCAGUCAUCUCUUCUCUGAAGUUUUUCCUUGAGGUUUUGAUAUGUCACCUGUAGAAUCGGGUUCAAGUAUGAC